This 252-nucleotide ribosomal RNA is filed under the name uncultured bacterium. Its description in RNAcentral is "partial 16S ribosomal RNA". It matches the Rfam family "Bacterial small subunit ribosomal RNA", at positions 524 to 775 of the family's 1533-position model. The record is from RNAcentral.
UACGAAGGGAGCUAGCGUUGUUCGGAAUUACUGGGCGUAAAGGGCGCGUAGGCGGCUUGAUAAGUUUGAUGUGAAAGCCCUGGGCUUAACCUAGGAAUAGCAUUGAAUACUGUCAGGCUAGAGGCCGAGAGAGGGAAAUGGAAUUGCGAGUGUAGAGGUGAAAUUCGUAGAUAUUCGCAAGAACACCAGUGGCGAAGGCGAUUUCCUGGCUCGGUACUGACGCUAAGGCGCGAAAGCGUGGGGAGCAAACAG